ACGCUCGACACCUACGGGAGGCCAGCAGUGGGGAAUAUUGCACAAUGGGGGAAACCCUGAUGCAGCGACGCCGCGUGGAGGAAGAAGGUCUUCGGAUUGUAAACUCCUGUUGUUGGGGAAAAAGAGGAUGGUACCCAACAAGGAAGUGACGGCUAACUACGUGCCAGCAGCCGCGGUAAUCUGAGCGGGCUGGCAAGGC
This 199-nucleotide ribosomal RNA is filed under the name uncultured bacterium. RNAcentral describes it as "partial 16S ribosomal RNA". It matches the Rfam family "Bacterial small subunit ribosomal RNA", at positions 328 to 539 of the family's 1533-position model. The record is from RNAcentral.